GCCUCCCCAUCCUCUUCCUCUUUCUUCCAGCCUUGAAAACAGAUGUGAUGGCACCUAGAAGCACAGAAGCCAUUCUUCAGCCACGAGAGGCACUGAAGAGAGGCUCCACUAGCUGAAAACUCAUCACAGUGCUCAGGACAGAGGAUGUAAAGUAAACAAUUGGAGAACAUGCUCUGCAAGACAGGAGAGAUGAACUUUUUCCAUCUACAACAUACAGAAGAGGAAGCUGAGACUCCGAGAAGUUUCAUCCCACUCAAAGUCAGCAAAGGGAGGAGGAAGCAGUACCACAGCCCAACCACAGGGCUCUUUCUACACCCACAAGUUCAUCAGCUUUAAAUUCUAAUGGAAAUGAUUCUACUGGGCCUGACUGAUUGACCCGAUAUUGCUGGAUUCCACAUAUCCACGUGAUGCUGUCCCCUCUGUAUGAGGAGUUAAGUGUGGAAAAUUGUAAUGGAUGCCACAAGAAGAAAAAAAUGGAAAUGGGAAAGAAUAAGUCAAAGUUCCAACAUUUACUCCCAGACUUCAUCAUGAAGUAAUAAAAUUCUCUCUGCCA
Long non-coding RNA from Lontra canadensis (Northern American river otter), 553 nucleotides. RefSeq lists it as uncharacterized. The transcript has 3 exons. Lineage: Eukaryota; Metazoa; Chordata; Mammalia; Carnivora; Mustelidae. The record is from RefSeq and is a predicted model, not a curated record.